This 474-nucleotide ribosomal RNA is filed under the name uncultured bacterium. Its description in RNAcentral is "bacterial SSU rRNA". It matches the Rfam family "Bacterial small subunit ribosomal RNA", at positions 335 to 801 of the family's 1533-position model. The record is from RNAcentral.
ACUCCUACGGGAGGCAGCAGUAGGGAAUCUUCCACAAUGGGCGCAAGCCUGAUGGAGCAACACCGCGUGAGUGAAGAAGGGUUUCGGCUCGUAAAAGCUCUGUUGUUAAAGAAGAACACGUAUGAGAGUAACUGUUCAUACGUUGACGGUAUUUAACCAGAAAGUCACGGCUAACUACGUGCCAGCAGCCGCGGUAAUACGUAGGUGGCAAGCGUUAUCCGGAUUUAUUGGGCGUAAAGAGAGUGCAGGCGGUUUUCUAAGUCUGAUGUGAAAGCCUUCGGCUUAACCGGAGAAGUGCAUCGGAAACUGGAUAACUUGAGUGCAGAAGAGGGUAGUGGAACUCCAUGUGUAGCGGUGGAAUGCGUAGAUAUAUGGAAGAACACCAGUGGCGAAGGCGGCUACCUGGUCUGCAACUGACGCUGAGACUCGAAAGCAUGGGUAGCGAACAGGAUUAGAUACCCUGGUAGGAUAGCG